Molecule: long non-coding RNA, 599 nt
Filed under: Homo sapiens (human)
Lineage: Eukaryota; Metazoa; Chordata; Mammalia; Primates; Hominidae
Description: non-protein coding lnc-RBP3-1:1
Source: RNAcentral
CCCAGGCGGCUUUCCCAGGGCCACCACAAGGACAGUCAUCUAACUUGCCCCCAAGUGAUUUGGGCCAACCCAUGGCCACUGCAGAAGUGACUGACAGCGUGUUGUAGAAAUCCCACCACACCAAAAGCGGGGGCGGAAGAGUUCCCCACUCCCUGAUAGUGGGCUGCUGGCUAGAGAAGGCUGUGGCCCUGACAGCCUGACAUUCUGCUGCCCCCAAAGCAUGGGGGCAAGACACUGUCCCCUGAGCCUGUGACCUGCUGCAUCCUCACCUCCUGGGUGGGGGUCCAAGCCACGUUCCCUCUCUGAAGAUAACAACAAUUGCCCACAGCCUGGACCGCAUGUUUGCAGUGGGUCAUGGAGUUUCUGAACAGCAUGGCCUAGUGGACAGAAUCGGAACACAAGGUGUCUUGAGGUGAAGUCUGUGGAGCCUCCACUAUGUGUGCAGGAGAAAAAAAAACAAUCAGUAUGGACAAGACUUUCAUGACUUGCCCUGGACCAAAGAUUAAAAACAACCUGGACAGAGGUCUUUGUUGAAGCCAGCCUGAACAAUGGCAGAAAUGUCCUUUCUAAUGACAUCACUAUGAAGAGCACCACCUGUG